GACGAACGCUGGCGGCGUGCUUAACACAUGCAAGUCGAACGGAAAGGCCCUGCUUUUGUGGGGUGCUCGAGUGGCGAACGGGUGAGUAACACGUGAGUAACCUGCCCUUGACUUUGGGAUAACUUCAGGAAACUGGGGCUAAUACCGGAUAGGAGCUCCUGCUGCAUGGUGGGGGUUGGAAAGUUUCGGCGGUUGGGGAUGGACUCGCGGCUUAUCAGCUUGUUGGUGGGGUAGUGGCUUACCACGGCUUUGACGGGUAGCCGGCCUGGGAGGGUGACCGGCCACAUGGGUACUGAGAUACGGCCCAGACUGCAACGGGAGGCAACAGGGGGGAAUAUUGCACAAUGGGCGGAAGCCUGAUGCAGCAACGCCGCGUGCGGGAUGACGGCCUUCGGGUUGUAAACCGCUUUCGCCUGUGACGAAGAGUGAGUGACGGUAAUGGGUAAAGAAGCACCGGCUAACUACGUG
Molecule: ribosomal RNA, 468 nt
Filed under: uncultured bacterium
Lineage: Bacteria
Description: partial 16S ribosomal RNA
Rfam family: Bacterial small subunit ribosomal RNA
Source: RNAcentral